This 466-nucleotide ribosomal RNA is filed under the name uncultured Acinetobacter sp. RNAcentral describes it as "bacterial SSU rRNA". It matches the Rfam family "Bacterial small subunit ribosomal RNA", at positions 338 to 795 of the family's 1533-position model. The record is from RNAcentral. Lineage: Bacteria; Pseudomonadati; Pseudomonadota; Gammaproteobacteria; Moraxellales; Moraxellaceae.
CCUCCGGGGGGCUGCAGUGGGGAAUAUUGGACAAUGGGGGGAACCCUGAUCCAGCCAUGCCGCGUGUGUGAAGAAGGCCUUUUGGUUGUAAAGCACUUUAAGCGAGGAGGAGGCUACCGAGAUUAAUACUCUUGGGUAGUGGACGUUACUCGCAGAAUAAGCACCUGCUAACUCUGUGCCAGCAGCCGCGGUAAUACAGAGGGUGCAAGCGUUAAUCGGAUUUACUGGGCGUAAAGCGCGCGUAGGUGGCCAAUUAAGUCAAAUGUGAAAUCCCCGAGCUUAACUUGGGAAUUGCAUUCGAGACUAGUUGGCUAGAGUAUGGGAGAGGAUGGUAGAAUUCCAGGUGUAGCGGUGAAAUGCGUAGAGAUCUGGAGGAAUACCGAUGGCGAAGGCAGCCAUCUGGCCUAAUACUGACACUGAGGUGCGAAAGCAUGGGGAGCAAACAGGAUUAGAUACCCUAGUAGUC